GCCGAAGUAGCUCAGUUGGUAGAGCAACUGAUUUGUAAUCAGUAGGUCGGGGGUUCGACUCCCUUCUUCGGCU
This 73-nucleotide transfer RNA is filed under the name Terrimonas ferruginea. RNAcentral describes it as "tRNA-Thr". It matches the Rfam family "tRNA". From Rfam's summary of the family: Transfer RNA (tRNA) molecules are approximately 80 nucleotides in length. The record is from RNAcentral. RNAcentral also lists the same sequence under 12 other names. Lineage: Bacteria; Pseudomonadati; Bacteroidota; Chitinophagia; Chitinophagales; Chitinophagaceae.